CGGGAGGCAGCAGUGGGGAAUAUUGCACAAUGGGCGAAAGCCUGAUGCAGCAACGCCGCGAGAGUGAUGAAGGCCUUCGGGUCGUAAAACUCUGUCCUCAAGGAAGAUAAUGACGGUACUUGAGGAGGAAGCCCCGGCUAACUACGUGCCAGCAGCCGCGGUAAUACGUAGGGGGCUAGCGUUAUCCGGAUUUACUGGGCGUAAAGGGUGCGUAGGUGGUUUCUUAAGUCAGGAGUGAACGGCUGCGGCUUCNCCGUNGUUNGCUCUUGUUCCUGGGUUCCUUGAGUGCCGGGGGAGGAAAAGUGGUUUUCCUUAGUGUAGCGGUGANNUGCGUCGUUCUUAAAAGGNCCCCCCGUCGCGUGGGCGGCUUUCUGGCCUGUAACUGACACUGAGGCACGAAAGCGUGGGGCCCCAAAAAGAUUAGAUACCCUGGUAGUCCACGCCGUAAACGAUGAGUACUAGGUGUCGGGGGUUACCCCCCUCGGUGCCGCAGCUAACGCAUUAAGUACUCCGCCUGGGGAGUACGCUCGCAAGAGUGAAACUCAAAGGAAUUGACGGGGACCCGCACAAGUAGCGGAGCAUGUGGUUUAAUUCGAAGCAACGCGAAGAACCUUACCUAAGCUUGACAUCCUUUUGACCGAUGCCUAAUCGCAUUUUUCCCUUCGGGGACAGAAGUGACAGGUGGUGCAUGGUUGUCGUCAGCUCGUGUCGUGAGAUGUUGGGUUAAGUCCCGCAACGAGCGCAACCCUUGCCUUUAGUUGCCAGCAUUAAGUUGGGCACUCUAGAGGGACUGCCAGGGAUAACCUGGAGGAAGGUGGGGAUGACGUCAAAUCAUCAUGCCCCUUAUGCUUAGGGCUACACACGUGCUACAAUGGGUGGUACAGAGGGCAGCCAAGUCGUGAGGCCGAGCUAAUCCCUUAAAGCCAUUCUCAGUUCGGAUUGUAGGCUGAAACUCGCCUACAUGAAGCUGGAGUUACUAGUAAUCGCAGAUCAGAAUGCUGCGGUGAAUGCGUUCCCGGGUCUUGCACU
RNAcentral lists this ribosomal RNA (1029 nucleotides) under uncultured bacterium. RNAcentral describes it as "bacterial SSU rRNA". It matches the Rfam family "Bacterial small subunit ribosomal RNA", at positions 342 to 1387 of the family's 1533-position model. The record is from RNAcentral.